RNAcentral lists this long non-coding RNA (273 nucleotides) under Prunus persica (peach). Its description in RNAcentral is "long non-coding RNA (PPER_LNC004620)". The record is from RNAcentral. Lineage: Eukaryota; Viridiplantae; Streptophyta; Magnoliopsida; Rosales; Rosaceae.
AAUUGGACAAUUUAGGUUCGUACGAAGUUCGAUCUGAAAUGGAGUGGUUGGUGUAUUGCAUAGUGCUAGAGAUUGGAUUUCACUCAAAACCCACCAAAUGACUCCGCCCACCAUAUUAUGAUCUUCCCCAAGUUUUGGACUCAUUUCGAUAUCGAUUGGUCCAUGAAAUUGGACACUUCAGGUUCGUACGAAGUUCGUUAUGAAAUGGAGUGGUUGGUAUAUUGCAUAGUUCUAGAGAUUGGAUUUCACUCAAAACCCAACAACGGACUCCCC